Xiphophorus couchianus (Monterrey platyfish) is the source of this 1031-nucleotide long non-coding RNA. RefSeq lists it as uncharacterized. The transcript has 2 exons. NCBI's taxonomy places the organism in Eukaryota, Metazoa, Chordata, Actinopteri, Cyprinodontiformes, Poeciliidae. The record is from RefSeq and is a predicted model, not a curated record.
CACCAUGCUGAGCAUAAAGUUGGCUGAUGAAUUUAGUCAAAGUGAACUCUACCUGAACAGACCUGACUGCGGAUAUGGAUCAGUUGAACCGAGGUUUGAAGAAGCCUCGGUUUCACUCAGAUGCUGGGGGAAGGUGUUAGAUCGACAUGAGUUGACGUCGCUGCGCGCUGCCUUUCAAGCUGGCUGCUACACCUUUCGCUUUCUUAAGAAAAUAAAAAACUAAUUUAGCUGUUUAGAAAUAUUUCCAAUUGUGAAAAAUUCCAGACAAGCGCCACCCAUGUGUGAAAACUACAGUUACCAAACAAGCAGGAAGUCUCGCUAACCAGCUAAUGUUAGCUUGACACGCUAACAUUAGCGUGCUAGUUCUGUUAGCAUCUAUAGACAACCUGGAUAUGGCGUCCAUCUCCGGCGGUCGUUGGGUGAAAGACGGGGUCCAACUUGGACCAUCGUGGGCCAACACAGGACAAACAACCAUACACACAAACAAACGCACACACACACACACAAAACUAAAGUUACUUCAACUAAUCAACAUAAAAACGAUUACUAAAUGUAGCUUUCUUUGUUUUUGCCUAACUUUUUACAUAUUAAAAUAAGAAAUGCUAUGGAUAACAUUAGAAUUGUAGUACCGUAAUUAAUAUAUUAUUUUAGCAGUGGCUCCUCCAAAAAGGGGGCAAAGGAAGCCAAAGCCCUGUCUUGAUGAAUGUUGAUCAAUCAAGACAUAAAUGUAAAACCCAAUUAAUACAUUUUUAAAUAUAUAUAUAAAUAAAUAAAAACAUGAAAUAGUCAUCCCACUGUUGCUAACGUAGCGACUUUGUUACUAUAUUAGUGACUUUUUGGGGUGGAAAAAUAAAUAAAGGUCAGGCUUUUUUAAGAUGGGUGACCAGCCAGAAAACCACAGUCGAAGUGCUAGUAUAGGACACUGUCAAAAGCAAUUCCACCUCUGAUUGGUUGAAGGGGGGAAAAACAAAAGGCAUCUCCAUGUUCAAAAACCCGUAAAUGUGGCUAAAUUAAAAAUAAUUCUGCAAAGG